RNAcentral lists this ribosomal RNA (1031 nucleotides) under Triticum aestivum (bread wheat). RNAcentral's name for it is "partial small subunit ribosomal RNA". Lineage: Eukaryota; Viridiplantae; Streptophyta; Magnoliopsida; Poales; Poaceae. The record is from RNAcentral.
AUUUUGCUGUCAGCUUUUCAUCAGGCAGAUGGCAAAGACUUUGCCGUCAGCGAAUCCUAGUAACAGAUGGCAAAGUAACAUCUUUGCCGUCAGCCGAAGCACAAUCUUUGCUAUCACCAAACUACUUUAGAGACAGCAAAGAUUUUUUUAUUCUAAAAAAUUCACAAAACACCUAAACAGUAAAACAUUUUCCAUGGCAUUCUUUACAGCUCAAUUUACACAGCAAAUCAACUAUAGUCAGUUUGCAGGACGCUCGGCCAUCAAAAUUUGGUAGCUACAAUAUUUUUUAUAGAUCAAUUUACAGAACUCAACAUCAACAAUUCAUAAUCGAUUUACAUAUUGAUGCUACAGAGAAACGGGCUCCGGAAUCGUCCUACAGACAAAGACCGCACGACAGCCGUGUGGGCCUUGUAGCCGCUCGGCGUCCUGCACCCGAUGGGGUGAGCGGCAGCGGCCCUCCGCAUCCGGCGCUGCUCCCUGCGACAGCCGUUGCGGUGGCGGACGGUGGCGCGGGCGGAGGCAGGCUUCGGCCGUCGAACGGGGAGGGCAGAGGCGGGCACACGCGGGCGGAGACCAGAGGCGCGCGGUGGCACGCAUGCAGAGGCGGGAGGCACGCGGUGGCGGGCGCGUGUGGACGGAGGCGGAAGGCGCCCGGUGGCGCGGGCGGAGGGGGACGAGGUGAUGGGACUGGAGCCCAUGGCGACGGGUGACAGGGCCGGCGAGGGGGACGAGGCCGGGACCGGCGGAGGACUGCGGGGACGACGAGCGACUGGCGCCGAGGCCAGUGAAUGGCUGCGGGGGCGCGGGGACCGUGGCCGGCAGAGGCCUGCAGGGGCGCCAGGGUGCGGGAGCAAGGCCGGGGGCCGGGGGCGAAGGGGAAGGGGCAGCGGCUGACGGUCGAAGUCGAGGCACCGGCGCCGGUGUGCUCUGGAUCUGGAGCUCCACUCCCAAUUGAGGAGGAUGAGCGGUAGGAGCAAGGGAGAGAAAGAGAUAGGAGAGACCGAGAGAGAUCGUGUGGGGGUGGGACGGUG